Molecule: long non-coding RNA, 276 nt
Organism: Patella vulgata (common limpet)
Lineage: Eukaryota; Metazoa; Mollusca; Gastropoda; Patellidae
Exons: 3
Source: RefSeq, a predicted model, not a curated record
ACUGUAUUUAUGUGAUGAAUAAUAAUUUAGUGAUAGGAAUUAAUUCUGUUUAGAUACAAAACAUAUAACGGGCAAAUAGUAAUAUGGAUCCCACAAAUCUGGUCCGGGUUUCUACACAGAGCAGUUUCCCAUGACAGCAGGUACCAUGGAUGCCCUUUCAUCACAUAGUAUUGCUGCCAUGGCAAUGAAUAUGCCAGGAAGUCCUGAAGAGGCCAUGUCAAUGAUGCAGCAAGGAGGUAUGGGGAAUCUAGUUGCCAUGCAGCAAAAUAUGUUAGC